RNAcentral lists this long non-coding RNA (606 nucleotides) under Durio zibethinus. RNAcentral's name for it is "long non-coding RNA (DZIB_LNC002470)". The record is from RNAcentral. Lineage: Eukaryota; Viridiplantae; Streptophyta; Magnoliopsida; Malvales; Malvaceae.
AAAUGAACUAACAGUGGCGAUUACUGAAACAUUGUUGAACGGGAGAGAUUUGCUAUGUCUACUUGGAUCUCUGCCUCAUCUUUCGGCGCUUUCUCUUCAAUCUUCUCAUACGCUUCUUCUUCCACUGUUAAGAAUCAUUCAACAAAUGACAAAUGAAAACCAAUAAAAUACUACUAAUAUUGAAGGACGGCUUUCAUAAUAAUAAUAAUAAAAAAAGAUGGUAUUUACUCCGCUUAGUAUUUAUAUAUAUAUAUAUAUAUAAAAAUUACCUUGGCUCUCAUGGUGACUGGAUGACGAAAGGCUUACAGUCUCGUUUUCUUAGUUGCUCCAGAAACCCUAGCAGAGACAGAGGCGGCAACAAAACUCGUGACACUUUCUUUUACCUCAUUAUAUAAAAGCCCUAGGGGCCUUACGUGUUACCCGAUCCAAAUCCACCUUCAACAAUGUUAGAUUAGUUGGGCCAGAAAUUAGAUCACUUGUUUUGUAAGUGGCCCAAAUGAAGAAAAAAAUGAAAUACUACUAAAAACAUUAUUAUAUUCAAAUGAAGAUUUUGCUAACAAAUUUUGUGAGAAUAAAUUUGGCAAAUAAUCAUGUGGAAAUAAAGGC